GACGAACGCUGGCGGCGUGCUUAACACAUGCAAGUCGAACGGAGUCCAACUGAUCGCAAGUGAUGUGAAGACUUAGUGGCGAACGGGUGCGUAACACGUGAGAAACCUGCCCCGGUCUCUGGGAUAACAGUUGGAAACGACUGCUAAUACCGGAUGCCGCCGGCGGACCGCAUGGUCUGCCGUCGAAAGAUUUAUCGGAUCGGGAGAGUCUCGCGGCCUAUCAGCUAGUUGGUGAGGUAAUGGCUCACCAAGGCAUCGACGGGUAGCUGGUCUGAGAGGAUGAUCAGCCACACUGGGACUGAGACACGGCCCAGACUCCUACGGGAGGCAGCAGUGGGGAAUCUUGCACAAUGGGCGAAAGCCUGAUGCAGCAACGCCGCGUGCGGGAUGAAGGCCCUAGGGUUGUAAACCGCUUUCAGCAGGGAAGAAAUUGACGGUACCUGCAGAAGAAGGUGCGGCCAACUACGUGCCAGCAGCCGCGGUGACACGUAGGCACCAAGCGUUGUCCGGAUUUAUUGGGCGUAAAGAGCUCGUAGGCGGUUCAGUUAGU
This 550-nucleotide ribosomal RNA is filed under the name uncultured Actinomycetes bacterium. Its description in RNAcentral is "bacterial SSU rRNA". It matches the Rfam family "Bacterial small subunit ribosomal RNA", at positions 28 to 588 of the family's 1533-position model. Lineage: Bacteria; Bacillati; Actinomycetota; Actinomycetes. The record is from RNAcentral.